Chenopodium quinoa (quinoa) is the source of this 835-nucleotide long non-coding RNA. RefSeq lists it as uncharacterized. Lineage: Eukaryota; Viridiplantae; Streptophyta; Magnoliopsida; Caryophyllales; Amaranthaceae. The record is from RefSeq and is a predicted model, not a curated record. The transcript is spliced from 2 exons.
GAAAUAUAAAUUCUUAUGGGAAUUAAAUUCUCAAUCAUACAAUACGUUAAUAUUUUUGAAAAUAGUAUGUGGUAAUUUUUUAUUUUUUUUAAUAAAAAAACGUUAAAAACAAUAGAUAUAUAAGGUGGUUAUUUCUAAACAACUUUUGGAUGUGGCCAACUAAAACACAAGUAAUUCUUGACCGACAAAGUAAAUCACCGUAACCAAGUAACCCCUGACUGAGUAACCCAUGACCCAUCGUCUAAUCCUGACCGACCAAGUAAUCCACGAUCGAGUAACUCCUAACUGAGUGAGUAAUCCAUGACUGAUUGAGUAACCCAUGACUGACUGAGUAACCCCUAACCAAAUAACCCCGAAAUGAAAAUGAAAGUUUGUGUUUUUAAAUAAAUCCUUUUUAUAUAAAAAAAAAAAAAUUAAAAAAAAAAUGGAAUGUAGAGGAUUAUGAACGAAUUGGGCCUUGAUGCAUUAGGGUUUAUACAGUUCCCAAAUUUCAUCUAUAUAAUUCGACGCCGUUUUUCACUAUCAACACCCACUCAUCUCAUCUUCCUCCCUCUUCUUUCUAUCUCGCAUCUAAACUGCUCAAUUAUUAACAGCAACUUCUACAAAACUUCCCCAUUUUAUUGUUAUUUAUAUAAUCUUCUCAAAACCAAAAACCCAUCUUUGAUUUUCAGGUUCAAGGUUGGCUCUUGUUUUCUUGAGCAGGGAAGUCUUUUAGUUAUAAAAUUUGUUGCAGUUACACUUGUACUAGUUGUUGCUUUGGUAAAUUGGUAGUUUGUACUAAACUAUAUUGAAAUGAAAUAAAAGAACUUUUUAGCCAUUGAUAUUUUUGCAGCAA